Molecule: long non-coding RNA, 207 nt
Filed under: Elaeis guineensis (African oil palm)
Lineage: Eukaryota; Viridiplantae; Streptophyta; Magnoliopsida; Arecales; Arecaceae
Description: long non-coding RNA (EGUI_LNC020231)
Source: RNAcentral
UUCAGAACUUUAAAGAGAACUUCCUUGGGCAGUUCAGCCGGAGCCAGCGUAGCCAACUUGGAGAGGAGAUCGGCCUUGGUAUUUUUCAUUCUUGGAAUCUGCCUAAUGUUGAAGCUACUAAAGGCUGGGACGAUCUCCUUUACCUUUUCAAGAUAUUUGGCCAUGUUGUCCUCUUGUGCUUCGUAGUUUUUGCUGACUUGUCCCACU